RNAcentral lists this ribosomal RNA (424 nucleotides) under uncultured prokaryote. RNAcentral's name for it is "bacterial SSU rRNA". It matches the Rfam family "Bacterial small subunit ribosomal RNA", at positions 355 to 796 of the family's 1533-position model. The record is from RNAcentral.
UAGGGAAUAUUGGACAAUGGGGGCAACCCUGAUCCAGCAACGCCGCGUGAAUGAUGAAGGCCUUAGGGUUGUAAAAUUCUUUCGCUAGGGAAGAUAAUGACUGUACCUAGUAAAGAAGCCCCGGCUAACUCCGUGCCAGCAGCCGCGGUAAUACGGAGGGGGCUAGCGUUGUUCGGAAUUACUGGGCGUAAAGCGUGCGUAGGCGGACUAUUAAGUUAGGGGUGAAAUCCCGAGGCUCAACCUCGGAACUGCCUCUAAAACUGGUAGUCUUGAGUUCUGGAGAGGUAAGUGGAAUUCCUAGUGUAGAGGUGAAAUUCGUAGAUAUUAGGAGGAACACCAGAGGCGAAGGCGGCUUACUGGACAGAUACUGACGCUGAGGCACGAAAGUGUGGGGAGCAAACAGGAUUAGAUACCCCCGUAGUCC